GACGAACGCUGGCGGCGUGCUUAACACAUGCAAGUCGAACGGAAAGGCCCUGCUUUUGUGGGGUGCUCGAGUGGCGAACGGGUGAGUAACACGUGAGUAACCUGCCCUUGACUUUGGGAUAACUUCAGGAAACUGGGGCUAAUACCGGAUAGGAGCUCCUGCUGCAUGGUGGGGGUUGGAAAGUUUCGGCGGUUGGGGAUGGACUCGCGGCUUAUCAGCUUGUUGGUGGGGUAGUGGCUUACCAAGGCUUUGACGGGUAGCCGGCCUGAGAGGGUGACCAGCCACAUUGGGACUGAGAUACGGCCCAGACUCCUACGGGAGGCAGCAGUGGGGAAUAUUGCACAAUGGGCGGAAGCCUGAUGCAGCAACGCCGCGUGCGGGAUGACGGCCUUCGGGUUGUAAACCGCUUUCGCCUGUGACGAAGCGUGAGUGACGGUAAUGGGUAAAGAAGCACCGGCUAACUACGUGCCAGCAGCCGCGGUGAUACGUAGGGUGCGAGCGUUGUCCGGAUUUAUUGGGCGUAAAGGGCUCGUAGGUGGUUGAUCGCGUCGGAAGUGUAAUCUUGGGGCUUAACCCUGAGCGUGCUUUCGAUACGGGUUGACUUGAGGAAGGUAGGGGAGAAUGGAAUUCCUGGUGGAGCGGUGGAAUGCGCAGAUAUCAGGAGGAACACCAGUGGCGAAGGCGGUUCUCUGGGCCUUUCCUGACGCUGAGGAGCGAAAGCGUGGGGAGCGAACAGGCUUAGAUACCCUGGUAGUCCACGCUGUAAACGGUGGGUACUAGGUGUGGGGUCCAUUCCACGGGUUCCGUGCCGUAGCUAACGCUUUAAGUACCCCGCCUGGGGAGUACGGCCGCAAGGCUAAAACUCAAAGGAAUUGACGGGGCCCCGCACAAGCGGCGGAGCAUGCGGAUUAAUUCGAUGCAACGCGUAGAACCUUACCUGGGUUUGACAUGGAUCGGGAGCGCUCAGAGAUGGGUGUGCCUCUUUUGGGGUCGGUUCACAGGUGGUGCAUGGCUGUCGUCAGCUCGUGUCGUGAGAUGUUGGGUUAAGUCCCGCAACGAGCGCAACCCUUGUUCACUGUUGCCAGCACGUUAUGGUGGGGACUCAGUGGAGACCGCCGGGGUCAACUCGGAGGAAGGUGGGGAUGACGUCAAGUCAUCAUGCCCCUUAUGUCCAGGGCUUCACGCAUGCUACAAUGGCUGGUACAGAGAGUGGCGAGCCUGUGAGGGUGAGCGAAUCUCGGAAAGCCGGUCUCAGUUCGGAUUGGGGUCUGCAACUCGACCUCAUGAAGUCGGAGUCGCUAGUAAUCGCAGAUCAGCAACGCUGCGGUGAAUACGUUCCCGGGGCU
This 1346-nucleotide ribosomal RNA is filed under the name uncultured bacterium. RNAcentral's name for it is "bacterial SSU rRNA". It matches the Rfam family "Bacterial small subunit ribosomal RNA", at positions 28 to 1381 of the family's 1533-position model. The record is from RNAcentral.